UCAUUGCUGUGGGACCCAGGAGAUGCUGGAAUUUCUUGGCCCUCUGUUGGACCCAAGCGCUGGCUUCUGCUUUCUGCCAGAACAAAACUUCUACUUCCCACCACUCUGCAGAGUCCCCAAGGCCGCCCUGGGCCAGAUGCUCCCCCAGAUGGUGAGCACAGGUGGACGGGGGCCACACCUGGCCAUGAGCUUCCAAUCAAGGACUGGGGACCAAGACAGGGGCCACGCAGCCGGGAGGCUCCAUCGCUCUGGAAGUCAUGGCAGGAGGGACAGUUGGUUAGAAGAACUUGAACUGGAAGCAAGCGAGACUGCAGGGGCAGCAAGGAGGGCUGCAGAGCUGCCAAGAGGAACAUACAAUCCCAGUAUCUUCCCUGCAGCAUUCAGGGAGCUCAGAACAAAUUAGGUGGUGUCGUAUAAUGUCAUCCACGGAUCUCGGGGCCCUCCAGCUUCUGUCAGUGUUUGGGGGACUGGGGUGAUUUGCCAAUUGCGUGCUACAGUAGAAUGAAGAGGAAAUGGAAUUGCUAACAGCACUGAACAUUUUCUCCCAAGCCCUGACUUUGUCCUAUCUCCUGGGUAGCUGCCAUUUGCACAGACACUGAUACAGGCCCGCAUGAACACUUCGUCACUGUCAGACCCACCUCUCAUCUACCACAACAGUUUGGACUUUGGUCAUAUGCUGGAUUUUCCCAAUUUUCAUCCAUUUGUUGGUGCAAAAAGUCCUUCAUUGUCUGGCUCACUCUGUUCACCUGCUGAUGUGGGCUCCUGUCAGAGGGAUCUCCUCCCACCCUCCACAAUACAGCUGGUGCUUGAAUAACAGAAAAGACAAACCAGGCGCUCCAUGAGAUGCUCCAAGCCUGCAGAGGAACUCUGCGUGCCUGGGGAAAAGGCUCUUUGUGAAGAAAUUGAUAAUUUUCUCCCAGACUGCUGGUGCCCGAAUCAGGAAGCGCUGCAGGAAGGCACAGAUCGGUUCCCUCUGGCUUUGCACGUACCAAGGGGGAUGGUGAUGUCCCUGGGUCCCUGUGGACAGCAAGAGGUUCCCCUAAGGUGAUAGAGUCACCUUGGAGAGGGUGCCAUUUAAGAAGAAAAUACCCAUCUAGAAGACAGUGAGGAUCUCAGGGCUCAGGGGUCCUCUGUGACCUGUGGCCUUCCUGAGGCUGUUCGAGCCCCAAACUCUUCCAGGCUGGCAAGCACCGCUCAGGACAGGGAUGCGCAUCUGGACACACCUAGCCCAGGGCCCAGAGGUGUCCCAACUCUUCCGGCUCCAGCCUUCCGGUAUGCUGACCUCCAGCCCAGCUGGCCCAGCUCCACCCAACAGUUCAGCCCCUGCCUGCGAGACCUUUCUCCUGAGACCUGUGUGUGUGUGUGUGUGUGUGUGUGUGUGUGUGUGUGUGCGCGCGUGCGUGCGCACUGUCUGGGCCUCUGUUCCAUCGCCUAUCCUGGCCUCUCACCAGGGUCUGAAGAGGCAUGCGCAUGUACAGCGUUUUCAAAUAAUCUGAUUUUUAAAAAAAAAUAAUAAAACUGUUUUUUUAUUGCUGUUCCCAGCCCACCUAGCGCCAGCUGCGAUGAGAAUCACUUGUAUGGUAAAGUGCUAUUGAUGAAAUUGCUCC
Molecule: long non-coding RNA, 1607 nt
Filed under: Heterocephalus glaber (naked mole-rat)
Lineage: Eukaryota; Metazoa; Chordata; Mammalia; Rodentia; Bathyergidae
Description: lncRNA (ENSHGLG00100042455.1)
Source: RNAcentral